RNAcentral lists this ribosomal RNA (330 nucleotides) under uncultured eukaryote. Its description in RNAcentral is "partial 18S ribosomal RNA". It matches the Rfam family "Eukaryotic small subunit ribosomal RNA", at positions 1470 to 1796 of the family's 1831-position model. The record is from RNAcentral.
CCCUUAGAUGUUCUGGGCUGCACGCGCGCUACACUGAUGCGCUCAACGAGUUUUAACCUUGCCUGGAAAGGUUGGGUAAUCUUUUUAAAACGCAUCGUGAUGGGGAUAGAUUAUUGCAAUUAUUAAUCUUCAACGAGGAAUUCCUAGUAAGCGCGAGUCAUCAGCUCGUGCUGAUUACGUCCCUGCCCUUUGUACACACCGCCCGUCGCUACUACCGAUUGAAUGAUUUAGUGAGGACUUCGGACUGGGACCGAUGCGGCUUUCGGGCUGCGUCGGUAUUCUGGAAAGAUGUCCAAACUGUAUCAUUUAGAGGAAGUAAAAGUCGUAACA